GACGAACGCUGGCGGCGUGCUUAACACAUGCAAGUCGAACGGUAAGGCUCCAGCUUGCUGGGGUACACGAGUGGCGAACGGGUGAGUAACACGUGGGUGACCUGCCCUGCACUUCGGGAUAAGCCUGGGAAACUGGGUCUAAUACCGGAUAGGACCAUGGUGUGGAUACUGUGGUGGAAAGUUUUUUCGGUGUGGGAUGGGCCCGCGGCCUAUCAGCUUGUUGGUGGGGUAAUGGCCUACCAAGGCGGCGACGGGUAGCCGGCCUGAGAGGAUGGACGGCCACAUUGGGACUGAGACACGGCCCAGACUCCUACGGGAGGCAGCAGUGGGGAAUAUUGCACAAUGGGCGGAAGCCUGAUGCAGCGACGCCGCGUGGGGGAUGACGGCCUUCGGGUUGUAAACUCCUUUCACCAUCGACGAAGGGUUUCUGACGGUAGAUGGAGAAGAAGCACCGGCUAACUACGUG
This 466-nucleotide ribosomal RNA is filed under the name uncultured bacterium. RNAcentral's name for it is "partial 16S ribosomal RNA". It matches the Rfam family "Bacterial small subunit ribosomal RNA", at positions 28 to 507 of the family's 1533-position model. The record is from RNAcentral.